AUCCUGGCUCAGGACGAACGCUGGCGGCGUGCUUAACACAUGCAAGUCGAACGGUAAGGCUCCAGCUUGCUGGGGUACACGAGUGGCGAACGGGUGAGUAACACGUGGGUGACCUGCCCUGCACUUCGGGAUAAGCCUGGGAAACUGGGUCUAAUACCGGAUAGGACCGCACCGUGAGGGUGUGGUGGAAAGUUUUUUCGGUGUGGGAUGGGCCCGCGGCCUAUCAGCUUGUUGGUGGGGUAAUGGCCUACCAAGGCGGCGACGGGUAGCCGGCCUGAGAGGGUGGACGGCCACAUUGGGACUGAGACACGGCCCAGACUCCUACGGGAGGCAGCAGUGGGGAAUAUUGCACAAUGGGCGGAAGCCUGAUGCAGCGACGCCGCGUGGGGGAUGACGGCCUUCGGGUUGUAAACUCCUUUCACCAUCGACGAAGGGUUUCUGACGGUAGAUGGAGAAGAAGCACCGGCUAACUACGUGCCAGCAGCCGCGGUAAUACGUAGGGUGCGAGCGUUGUCCGGAAUUACUGGGCGUAAAGAGCUCGUAGGUGGUUUGUCGCGUCGUCUGUGAAAUUCCGGGGCUUAACUCCGGGCGUGCAGGCGAUACGGGCAUAACUUGAGUACUGUAGGGGAGACUGGAAUUCCUGGUGUAGCGGUGAAAUGCGCAGAUAUCAGGAGGAACACCGGUGGCGAAGGCGGGUCUCUGGGCAGUAACUGACGCUGAGGAGCGAAAGCAUGGGGAGCGAACAGGAUUAGAUACCCUGGUAGUCCAUGCCGUAAACGGUGGGCGCUAGGUGUGGGUUUCCUUCCACGGGAUCCGUGCCGUAGCUAACGCAUUAAGCGCCCCGCCUGGGGAGUACGGCCGCAAGGCUAAAACUCAAAGGAAUUGACGGGGGCCCGCAGACGGGGGCCCGCACAAGCGGCGGAGCAUGUGGAUUAAUUCGAUGCAACGCGAAGAACCUUACCUGGGCUUGACAUAUACAGGAUCGCGCCAGAGAUGGUGUUUCCCUUGUGGCUUGUAUACAGGUGGUGCAUGGUUGUCGUCAGCUCGUGUCGUGAGAUGUUGGGUUAAGUCCCGCAACGAGCGCAACCCUUGUCUUAUGUUGCCAGCACGUUGUGGUGGGGACUCGUAAGAAACUGCCGGGGUUAACUCGGAGGAAGGUGGGGAUGACGUCAAAUCAUCAUGCCCCUUAUGUCCAGGGCUUCACACAUGCUACAAUGGUCGGUACAGUGGGUUGCCAGUCCGUGAGGGCGAGCUAAUCCCGCAAAGCCGGUCUCAGUUCGGAUCGGGGUCUGCAACUCGACCCCGUGAAGUCGGAGUCGCUAGUAAUCGCAGAUCAGCAACGCUGCGGUGAAUACGUUCCCGGGCCUUGUACACACCGCCCGUCACGUCAUGAAAGUCGGUAACACCCGAAGCCAGUGGCCUAACACAUUUUUUGUGGGGGAGCUGUCGAAGGUGGGAUUGGCGAUUGGGACGAAGUCGUAACAAGGU
RNAcentral lists this ribosomal RNA (1488 nucleotides) under Corynebacterium amycolatum. RNAcentral's name for it is "bacterial SSU rRNA". It matches the Rfam family "Bacterial small subunit ribosomal RNA". Lineage: Bacteria; Bacillati; Actinomycetota; Actinomycetes; Mycobacteriales; Corynebacteriaceae. The record is from RNAcentral.